AUGGUUCAUCCGUUGCAUGCCCUCCAUGAGCUGCUACUGCAAGCGAGGUCUCCACAUGCAGCCCUGGGACUGGUCUUUGUCCUGCUCGUCUGCCCUCUCCUCGCCCUCCUGGUCGUGCGCCGCCUCGCGACGCCGUCGACGGCCGCGGCCACCGCGAGAGCCAGAGAAGAGCUGCUGGGCAGGCUGCCCUCUCCUCCCAGUAGGCUCCCCAUCAUCGGCCACAUGCACCUCGUCGGCUCCCUCCCGCACAUCUCCCUCCGCGACCUCGCCGCCAAGCACGGCCGCGACGGCCUCAUGCUCCUCCGCCUGGGCGCCGUCCCGACGCUCGUCGUCUCGUCGCCCAGCGCCGCGGAGGCCGUGCUGCGCACGCACGACCACGUCUUCGCGUCCCGGCCCUACUCCGCCGUCACCGAAAUCCUCUUCUACGGCCCCACGGACGCCGCCUUCUCCCCCUACGGCGAGCACUGGCGACAGGUCAAGAAGAUCGCCACCACGCACCUUCUCACCAACAGGAAGGUCCGCUCCUACCGCUAUGCCCGCGAACACGAGGUGAGAUCGGUUGUGGCUAAGAUCCGCGAUGCGGCCUCCAAAUGCACCGUCAUCGACCUGACUGACCUUCUCAAUGCCUUCACCAAUGACAUUGUGUGCGAAGCUGUGUCCGGUAGGCUUUUCAGGGAACAAAGCCAUAAAAAACUCUUCCGAGAGCUCGUCGAGGCCAACUCAUUGCUCCUGGGCGGAUUCAACCUAGAGGACUACUUCCCCAUGUUGGUGAAGAUGGACAUCAUCAAGAGGAUUGUUUGCGCCAAGGCCCAGAAGGUGAAGAAGAUGUGGGACAACCUGCUCAAUAAUAUCAUCGAUGAGCAUGCAAGCAAGUCGGUGCCAGAACACAACAGUGAGGAUAGUGACUUCACCGAUGUGUUGCUUUCUAUCCAAGAAGAGUACAAACUCACGAGAGACCAUAUUAAGGCUCAGUUAGAGAUCAUAUUCGAAGCUGGCACAGAUACAUCAUUCAUAGUGUUGGAAUAUGCGAUGGUCCAGCUCAUGCGAAAACCCCAUCUCAUGAACAAGCUACAAGCUGAGGUGAGGAGCACUAUAACCAAGGGGAAAGAAAUAGUUACCGAAGACGAUCUGGAUAGUUUGGCCUACCUAAAGGCAGUCAUUAAAGAGACACUCCGGCUCCAUAUGCCUGGGCCACUCCUCAUACCCCACCUCUCCAUGGCCGACUGCAACAUAAAGGGCUACACGAUACCAUCAGGAAUACGUGUCAUCAUCAACAGUUGGGCUCUUGCAAGGGACCCUAGUAGUUGGGAGCAUGCGGAUGAGUUCAUGCCUGAGCGGUUUAUGGAAUGUGGUAGCGCCGCAACUAUGGACUAUAAGGGAAAUGACUUCCAAUACUUGCCCUUUGGGGCCGGGCGAAGGAUUUGCCCAGGCAUGAACUAUGCGACUGCGAGCAUUGAAAUCAUGCUAGCGAAUCUCAUGUACCACUUCAACUGGAAGCUACCAGUAGAGUUGAUGGACGAAGGUGGCAUCAGUAUGACUGAAUUUUUUGGGAUGACUGUGCAUCGAAAGGAGAAGCUCCUCCUAGUCCCCGUAGUGCCAGAAGAUUAA
Molecule: ribosomal RNA, 1608 nt
Filed under: Triticum aestivum (bread wheat)
Lineage: Eukaryota; Viridiplantae; Streptophyta; Magnoliopsida; Poales; Poaceae
Description: partial small subunit ribosomal RNA
Source: RNAcentral